AGCGAACGCUGGCGGCAGGCCUAACACAUGCAAGUCGAACGAACUCUUCGGAGUUAGUGGCGGACGGGUGAGUAACACGUGGGAACGUUCCUUUUGGUUCGGAAUAACUCAGGGAAACUUGUGCUAAUACCGAAUGUGCCCUUCGGGGGAAAGAUUUAUCGCCAUUAGAGCUGCCCGCGGCUGAUUAGCUAGUUGGUGAGGUAACGGCUCACCAAGGCGACGGUCAGUAGCUGGUCUGAGAGGAUGACAAGCCACACUGGGACUGAGACACGGCCCAGACUCCUACGGGAAGCAGCAGGGGGGAAUCGUGCGAAAUGGGCGAAAGCCUGACGCAGCCAUGCCGCGUGAAUGAUGAAGGUCUUAGGAUGGUAAAAUUCUUUCGCCGGGGACGAUAAUGACGGUACCCGGAGAAGAAGCCCCGGCUAACUUCGUG
This 433-nucleotide ribosomal RNA is filed under the name uncultured bacterium. RNAcentral describes it as "partial 16S ribosomal RNA". It matches the Rfam family "Bacterial small subunit ribosomal RNA", at positions 29 to 507 of the family's 1533-position model. The record is from RNAcentral.